RNA transcript from Acinonyx jubatus (cheetah), 8245 nucleotides. It is a transcript of the gene named INO80 complex ATPase subunit, with no coding region annotated. The record is from RefSeq and is a predicted model, not a curated record. The transcript is spliced from 38 exons. Lineage: Eukaryota; Metazoa; Chordata; Mammalia; Carnivora; Felidae.
UAUUUUGAGAGAGAGAGAGCAUGAGCACAAGCACGGGAGGGACAAAGAGAAAGAGAGAGAAUCCCAAGCAGGCUCCUCCGUGCUGUCAGUGUGGAGCCUGACUUGGGGCUUGAAUCCACAAACUGUGAUACUGUGACCUGAGCCAAAAUCAAGAGUCGGACACUUAACUGACUGAACCACCCUGGCUCCCCUAUGAUCCCCUAUGAUACACAUUUAGUUUUGAUUUGGGAGAAGGGAAACUAUGUAGUAGGAACAACCUGUAUGGUAUAUGGGAUUGUCUCUGUGUAUUCAAGUAUAGAGUCAUCUUUUGAUAAUGGUACUAAGGAUAUUCUUGUAAAAGAACAAAUAAGGUACCUUUGGGUUUGUAUGUGACAGCUAGCUCUUUUGUGUAAGAGGUUAGUAGCUAAGUAGAAUAAACAGGAUAAAUCUUUCACAGUUUUGUGCAAGAACAGAGAAAUGGCUAGUAAACAUCAAUAUGGUAAAAAGGAUGUUCAGGUGCUCAGUUUAUUCCUGAGAAUGUUGCCUGAGUGUUGUCAGAAAGGCCGACAAAAUGUUAGUCAUUCCCUGGAAAGGCAUGAAAAAAUAAACGGACUGCGUUAUCUUGGUACAAAACCACAGUUACGUCUACUCUUAGACUAUAGAAUGGAUUUCAAUUACUGCACUUCAGGAAAUAAUAAAUCAAGGGGUGCCUAACUGGCCCAGUUGGAGGAGCAUGUGACUCUUGAUCUCAGGGUCGUGAGUUCAAGUCCCACAUUGGGUUUAGAGAUUACUGAAAAAUAAAAUGUCAAAAUAAACAGGAGGGAAGUUUCCAGAAAAUGGCAGUAUAAAUGAUGAAGGCAGUGGUAGGGCUUACAUGUGAAGAUAAAGAAAUUUGACUCCAUAUUGAAAUGAUGAAGACUGGGAUGGACUAUGAUUAAAUUAAAUUGAAUUAGAUAAAAACAUGCAUUAUAAUCCUGGAAAAUUAGAAUCAGUUUGAAGGAUGAAUAUUGUUUGACAGGUGUAUAAUGAGUGGUUUGUUUAUGAAACUUACUAGCAAGGAAGAUGGUUAAGGUUCAAGAACAAACCAGACACAAUGUUAUGGUUAUAAAGCCAGAGACUUUUAUGAUCCAGUCCUAGUUCAUUUCAGGUCAGCAAGCCAUUUGAUGAUGCUUGUACCUAAUGGUUUAUGUAACUCCUUAUUUUAUUCAUUAGAUAAAUAUUCAUUGAACACCUAAUGAGUGCUUUUUGAUUUUCCCAACAACAAUUUGUUGAGCAUCUGCCACACUUAAGGGACUGUGGUAGAUUCUGGGGAUGUACAAGAGAAUUAAUCCACUUGUAUGUGUAUGUGUGGAGAGUACAGAGGGGCUCUGCAAAGAUAAACACAGGGUUAUGCAAACUCUAGGUGCCGUGGGGAAGUAUAAACCUACAUAUUUCUUUUGAGUUGUUGAUAGGAAUUAGUAGUAGUUUUUUGUCUUUUUUAAAAAAAAUACAUUCUUUUCAUAUGUUUAAAGGCCCUGUUCUACCUUGUUAACAGAAGCAUUGUAAUCCAGUGGCAGUAUAUUACACCGAGCCCCUUCUAGAUCCUAGAGCCAGCCGUGAAGUCGGAGACCCUUGUGCAUGAAGACAGAUUUGUUCUAUGGCCUCGGAGUUGGGUGCCGGGGACGAUGGCGGCUGCACUGAGCUGGCAAAGCCCCUCUAUCUUCAGUACCUGGAGAGGGCCCUCCGGUUGGACCAUUUCUUGCGACAGACAUCAGCCAUCUUCAACAGGAAUAUUUCUAGUGAUGAAAGUGAAGAUGGACUGGAUGACAGUAAUCCUUUAUUGCCCCAGUCCGGGGAUCCCUUAAUACAAGUUAAGGAAGAACCUCCAAAUUCAUUGCUUGGUGAAACUUCUGGAGCAGGCAAUUCUGGAAUGUUAAACACAUACUCACUGAAUGGAGUUCUGCAGUCAGAAUCAAAAUCUGACAAAGGGAAUUUAUAUAACUUCUCUAAGUUGAAGAAAAGCAGAAAGUGGCUAAAGAGCAUUCUGCUAAGUGAUGAGUCCAGUGAGGCAGAUUCUCAGAGUGAAGACAAUGAAGAAGAAGAAGAAGAGGAAGAACUCAACCUCAGCAGAGAAGAACUUCAUAACAUGUUGCGGCUGCACAAAUAUAAGAAACUUCACCAGAAUAAGUAUAGUAAAGACAAGGAGUUGCAGCAGUACCAGUACUACAGUGCAGGCCUCCUGUCCACGUACGACCCUUUCUAUGAGCAACAACGGCACCUACUUGGACCCAAAAAAAAGAAAUUCAAGGAGGAAAAGAAACUUAAAGCCAAGUUAAAAAAAGUGAAGAAAAAAAGGCGAAGGGAUGAAGAACUUUCCUCUGAAGAAUCUCCUCGUUGCCACCACCACCAGACCAAAGUCUUUGCCAAGUUCUCUCAUGAUGCACCUCCUCCUGGCACCAAGAAGAAGCACUUAUCCAUUGAGCAGCUUAAUGCUCGUCGUAGAAAAGUAUGGCUCAGCAUUGUGAAAAAGGAACUACCAAAGGCCAACAAGCAGAAAGCUUCAGCUCGUAACCUGUUUCUCACCAAUAGCCGAAAGCUCGCCCACCAGUGCAUGAAGGAGGUGCGUCGAGCUGCCUUGCAGGCCCAAAAGAACUGUAAGGAGACCUUGCCUCGUGCCCGCCGCCUCACCAAGGAGAUGCUUCUGUACUGGAAGAAAUACGAGAAGGUGGAGAAGGAACACCGAAAGCGUGCAGAGAAGGAAGCCUUGGAGCAACGCAAGUUGGAUGAGGAAAUGCGGGAGGCCAAGAGGCAACAACGAAAACUGAACUUCCUAAUCACCCAGACAGAGUUGUAUGCCCAUUUCAUGAGUCGUAAACGAGACAUGGGUCAUGAUGGAAUCCAGGAAGAAAUCUUAAGGAAACUGGAAGACAGUUCUACCCAAAGACAGAUUGACAUUGGUGGAGGAGUGGUAGUUAACAUCACACAGGAGGAUUAUGAUAGUAACCAUUUCAAAGCCCAGGCCCUGAAGAAUGCUGAAAAUGCUUACCAUAUUCAUCAAGCUCGGACAAGGUCAUUUGAUGAAGAUGCAAAAGAAAGUCGAGCAGCUGCCCUCCGGGCAGCAAACAAGUCUGGUACUGGGUUUGGGGAGAGUUACAGCCUGGCAAACCCAUCUAUCCGAGCUGGUGAAGAUAUUCCACAACCUACCAUUUUUAAUGGCAAAUUAAAAGGCUACCAGCUGAAAGGCAUGAAUUGGUUGGCAAAUCUGUAUGAGCAGGGCAUUAAUGGCAUUCUUGCAGAUGAAAUGGGUCUUGGCAAAACAGUACAGAGUAUUGCCCUCCUGGCCCAUCUGGCUGAGAGAGAGAACAUCUGGGGACCUUUCUUAAUAAUUUCACCUGCUUCUACACUUAACAAUUGGCACCAGGAGUUUACAAGAUUUGUUCCUAAAUUUAAGGUGCUACCAUACUGGGGAAAUCCUCAUGAUAGAAAAGUUAUCAGGAGGUUCUGGAGUCAGAAGACCCUCUACACUCAGGAUGCCCCUUUCCAUGUGGUAAUUACCAGCUACCAGCUGGUGGUGCAGGAUGUAAAGUAUUUCCAGCGGGUCAAGUGGCAGUACAUGGUAUUGGAUGAGGCUCAAGCACUCAAGAGUAGUUCCAGUGUUCGUUGGAAGAUCCUCUUGCAGUUCCAGUGUCGGAAUCGGCUUUUGCUAACUGGGACCCCAAUUCAGAACACCAUGGCAGAGCUCUGGGCCCUGCUACAUUUCAUUAUGCCAACAUUAUUUGAUUCACAUGAGGAAUUUAAUGAGUGGUUUUCCAAGGACAUUGAGAGCCACGCCGAAAACAAAUCUGCCAUUGAUGAGAAUCAGCUCUCUCGCUUACACAUGAUCUUGAAGCCAUUUAUGCUGAGGAGAAUCAAGAAAGAUGUGGAAAAUGAAUUGUCUGACAAGAUUGAGAUUCUAAUGUAUUGCCAACUAACCAGCCGACAGAAGCUGCUAUAUCAGGCACUCAAGAACAAAAUUUCUAUUGAAGACUUAUUGCAGUCUUCUAUGGGCUCUACCCAGCAAGCACAGACCACCACCAGCAGCCUCAUGAAUCUGGUCAUGCAGUUUAGGAAGGUGUGUAAUCACCCAGAGUUAUUUGAACGACAAGAAACUUGGUCUCCAUUUCAUAUUUCCCUAAAGCCAUACCAGAUUUCAAAGUUUAUCUACCGUCAUGGACAGAUCAGGGUUUUCAACCAUUCACGAGACAGGUGGUUAAGGGUUCUUCUUUCUCCAUUUGCACCAGACUAUAUCCAACAGUCUCUCUUUCACAGAAAAGGUGUUAAUGAAGAAAGCUGUUUCUCCUUCCUUCGCUUUAUCGAUGUAUCGCCAGCAGAAAUGGCAAACCUUAUGCUUCAGGGACUUUUGGCCAGAUGGUUAGCUCUUUUCCUGUCUCUGAAAGCCUCCUACAGGCUCCAUCAGCUGCGCUCCUGGGGAGAGCCAGAAGGGGAAAGCCAGCAGAGAUAUCUGAGAAACAAGGAUUUCCUUCUUGGGGUUAAUUUUCCACUCUCCUUUCCCAACCUUUGCAGCUGCCCUUUGUUAAAGUCUCUGGUUUUCAGCAGCCACUGCAAAGCAGUAAGUGGCUACUCAGACCAGGUCAUCCAUCAGCGGAGAUCAGCUACCUCCUCACUUCGUUGCUGCCUGCUCACUGAACUGCCAUCUUUUUUGUGUGUGGCCAGUCCACGAGUUACCGCAGUGCCAUUGGAUUCUUACUGCAAUGACCGAAGUGCAGAAUAUGAGCGGCGAGUGCUGAAGGAAGGAGGGAGUCUGGCAGCCAAGCAGUGUUUGUUAAAUGGGGCCCCUGAACUGGCAACAGAUUGGCUAAAUCGACGAUCCCAGUUCUUCCCAGAGCCAGCUGGAGGACUGUGGAGCAUCAGGCCUCAGAAUGGCUGGUCUUUCAUCAGGAUUCCAGGCAAGGAGAGCCUCAUCACUGACAGUGGAAAGCUGUAUGCCCUUGAUGUCCUCCUGACUCGGCUCAAGUCUCAAGGACAUAGGGUCCUUAUCUACUCCCAGAUGACCAGGAUGAUAGACCUGCUGGAGGAAUACAUGGUUUACAAGAAGCAUACCUACAUGAGGCUUGAUGGUUCCUCCAAGAUCUCAGAGAGGCGGGACAUGGUUGCUGAUUUUCAGAACAGGAAUGACAUCUUUGUGUUCCUGCUGAGCACUCGAGCUGGAGGACUGGGUAUCAAUCUCACUGCUGCAGAUACAGUGAUUUUUUAUGAUAGUGACUGGAACCCCACUGUGGACCAACAGGCCAUGGACAGGGCCCACCGCUUGGGGCAGACAAAACAGGUUACUGUGUACCGGCUCAUCUGUAAAGGCACCAUUGAAGAACGCAUUCUACAGCGAGCCAAGGAGAAGAGUGAGAUUCAGCGGAUGGUGAUUUCUGGUGGGAACUUCAAACCAGAUACCUUGAAACCCAAAGAGGUGGUUAGUCUUCUUCUAGAUGAUGAAGAACUGGAGAAGAAAUUGAGGCUGCGGCAAGAAGAGAAACGGCAGCAGGAGGAAACCAACCGAGUCAAAGAGCGCAAGCGCAAGCGGGAAAAGUAUGCAGAGAAGAAGAAAAAGGAAGAUGAAUUGGAUGGGAAAAGGAGAAAAGAGGGUGUGAACCUAGUAAUUCCAUUUGUUCCCUCGGCUGAUAACUCCAACCUUUCUGCUGACGGGGACGACUCCUUCAUUAGUGUGGACUCGGCCAUGCCCAGCCCUUUCAGUGAGAUCUCCAUCAGCAGUGAACUGCACACUGGCUCUAUCCCCCCCGAUGAGAGCAGCAGUGAUAUGCUGGUGAUCGUGGAUGACCCAGCCUCUUCAGCCCCCCAGUCUCGAGCCACCAACUCUCCCGCUUCCAUAACGGGCUCCGUUUCAGACACCGUGAAUGGAAUUUCCAUUCAGGAAAUGCCAGCCGCAGGACGUGGUCACUCAGCGCGAAGCCGAGGCCGCCCCAAAGGUUCAGGAAGCACAGCCAAAGGAGCAGGGAAAGGCCGGAGCCGGAAGUCCACUGCAGGCAGUGCUGCCGCUAUGGCAGGAGCCAAAGCAGGGGCUGCGGCAGCAUCCGCAGCCGCCUAUGCUGCAUACGGGUACAACGUGUCUAAAGGAAUCUCGGCCAGCAGUCCUCUGCAGACGUCCCUUGUUCGGCCUGCUGGCCUUGCUGACUUUGGACCUUCAAGCGCCUCUUCUCCCUUGAGUUCCCCUUUAAGCAAAGGAAAUAAUGUUCCCGGGACUCCCAAGAGCCUCCACUUGACCAGCAGCCUAGCCCCAGAUUCCCUGGUCCGGAAACAGGGCAAAGGCACCAACCCCUCUGGAGGACGAUGGAUGAAACUGGAACCUAAAAAGUGAAGACUCCAAGCUCAUUAACCAGUCCCCAAGUUAUGACUCAUGCUCUGUCUACCCACUUUCUGAAGACUUGUACAUCUUCCAUGUGAGAUAGCCCAGCUCUCAGGAACCCAGGGAGCCAGUACCCUAAAAUGGAAAAAGGCUGGGGGAGGGCUCUUGCCUGCUAAAAGAAACAUCCCUCAGGAAGCCUAGAAGCCCAGGCCUUAGAGUGCAGAUCUGGUGUGGAUCACAGUGAGGGCUGUCUCUUUGGCCGAGGUCACUUUGCCACAUGAGCCAGCUCUGAGGACCCCAGGGUUUUCUUGGUCAUCAAAACAAGGACACCAGGUAAAAGCAGAACUGGACAUAGGAAGUCACAAAGCUCAAGAUGUCUCUCGCAGUUCUCAUGGAGCCUUUGGUUCCUAGUUCCUGGCACCUGGGGGAGAGAGACCAGGAUUCCAGAGAGAGAGGCCCCCCAACUCUUUCCUUCCUCAUAGGUAAGAGUUCCUUCCCAAAAGGCAGGAGAAUGUGCUCCUGUGAGCACCCCUGCAGGGCCCAUGCCUCUGCUGUCCCAUGGGAUUUCUGUGUCCUGGGACCCAAAGCUCAAGAAUGAAGGCCUGGCCCCAGGGGCUAGAGUGGCCUCUCUGGGUCCAACCUGGACUGGGGAUUGGGCCAUAGCAAUUGGGGAUUCCAUAGCCUUGGGGAUUCCCAAGGCAAAAAGGAAGCUCCUGUGAAAGUUAUAGGAGACCAUCGCAGUUUUUCUAAGCUCCCCCAUUCCCAGCUGGUGAUCCCCCAGAGAGCAGCUCUGUGAGAGAAUAGCCAGGAGCAUUCCAAAUGUUUUACCUCCUCCUCCACCAUCACAAACCACAAACCCCACCCUAAAUCAGGCCUACCUAUGGCUGUUCCUUCUACCAGAGAAGAGAGAAGGGGCUUCCUUCCCAUUUCCCAGGUAUGGGAAGCACCUCGUUUAAAACAAGAUAAAAAAAAAAAUUUUUAAUGUUUGUUUAUUUUUAAGAGAGAGGGGGAGACAGGAUCCCAAGCAGGCUCUGCACAAUAGCGCAGAGCCCAGUGCAGGACUUGAACCCAUGAACUGAGAUCAUAACUUAAGCUGAAGUCGGAUGCUUAACCAACUCAGCCACCCAGGCAUCCCUAGAACUGUUUUUAAAAGGUUUUAUUAAUGUCACUGCUUAAAAACACCGUAUCUAGUAAACCUGUCUUAACAUUUCCCGAGGCCCUGGGUCAUGUGAGGAUCUUGGUGCCCAGGCUCACUGCAAAGUGACUAAUAUGUGCACAACAUUAAAUAGCACCAACAGCUACACUGGCACAAUUCUUAAGUCUACUUUGAAGAUGGCCUCUGCCCCCUCACUGUUUUUGUGCCCAUAUGAGGUAGCCCUCUCUCUUCUAACUUUUUCCAAAUUCUGGAGGGCUUGAAACCAUUUUACCGGAUUUGGAACUUCUGAACCAAUGAAAAGUACUCUGAAGGAGGAAUUGUGGGGUCUUCUAGGAAUGAUGUAAUUGAGCUUCAGUACAUGCCUCCUGUUUGGCCUGUUUUCUGGCCCUCCCGAGGGCCUCUAGUAACUGAGCUCUGGAUAAGACAAGUGUCUUAGAUAAGCAUGUUCUGGUUUUUAACCAGUUCACUAAAGCUUGCUGUCUGUAUUUUUUCUCUCCUUUUUUUUUUUUUUUUUUAAUGUUUAUUUAUUUUGAGAGAGAGUGGAGAGGAGCAGAGAGAAGAAAGAGAAUCUCAUGCAGGCUCUGUGCUGUCAGCGCAGAGCCUGACCCCAGGGCUCAAUCUCAGGAACUGUGAGAUCAUGAUCUGAGCCGAGAUCAAGAGUCAGAUGUUUAACCGACUGAGCCAUCCAGGCACCCCCUCCCCCUUUUUUUUAAUUACCCUUAAAAAGCAAAAAAAAAAAAAAAAAAAAAGUACUGAUUAACUUAAAUGACAAGGAA